UGGGCGGGUAGCACUGGGCAGCCACAACAGAUGCAGCCGGGACUAUAGCAGGCGGCUGCUGCAUCAGAAGCAGCAGGAGAUGAAGCAACCAGACACAGCCAUGAUGAGAGCCUAGUACAACAAAUGGCUGUCUCAGCAAGGCCCUGGCAGAACUGACCACUAGAUUCCAGAUGCCAGCAUGAUGCCGACCAGACUUCCCUGGACAGACAACCCCACCAAUGUGUCCUGGAGCUCCACUUCCCCAGAGCCCCACCCUACUAGGGAAAGAGAGAGACAGGCUGGGAGUAUGGAUCGACCUGUCAUCGCCCAUGUUUAGUGGGGAAGCAAUUACAGAAGCCAGACCUUCCACCUUCUGCAUCCCACAAUGACCUUGGGUCCAUACUCCCAGAGGGAUAAAGAAUAGGAAAGCUAUCAGGGGAGGGGAUGGGAUAUGGAGAUAGUGGGAAUUGUGUGGAGUUGUACCCCUCUUAUCCUAUGGUUUUGUUAAUGUCUACUUUUUAAAUAAACAAAAACAGAAAUAAAUAAAUAAAUAAAUCCAGGGCUGGGUGGUGGCACACCUGGCUGAGUGCACAUGUUACAAUGGGCAAAGACCCAGGUUCAAGUCCCCAUUCCCCACCUGCAGGAUGAAAGCUUCACUAGCAGUGAAGCAGUGCUGCAGGUGUCUCUCUGUCUUUCCUCCUCUCUAUCCAACCCUUCCCUCUCAAUUUCUGGCUGUCUCUAUCCAAUACAUAAAUAAAGAUAAUAAAAAAAAUAAAA
This is a long non-coding RNA of Erinaceus europaeus (western European hedgehog), 756 nucleotides long. RefSeq lists it as uncharacterized. The record is from RefSeq and is a predicted model, not a curated record. The transcript is spliced from 2 exons. Lineage: Eukaryota; Metazoa; Chordata; Mammalia; Eulipotyphla; Erinaceidae.